UGACCCAGAGCAACUACUUAGAGUCUGU
RNAcentral lists this non-coding RNA (28 nucleotides) under Rattus norvegicus (Norway rat). The record is from RNAcentral. Lineage: Eukaryota; Metazoa; Chordata; Mammalia; Rodentia; Muridae.